CACCCUCCAUCACUGUGAUAUUUGUGUAUAUAAUAAUAUAUUUGCUUUUACUGUUGUCUAAGGUGGCCCCUUCCUAGUGGUAACUACUUAGACUACCAAGCCUAUGAAGUUUCAGAAACGACGAGACUCAGAUGCAUUAGCCAGGGAGUCGCCUUUGCCAAACUCUAACGGCUACACUUCCUCUUUAGAUACAUACCCAUUUCCGUGCUUUUCUUUUUCUUCAACCAGUUUGGACUCGGAGGAGUACGCAGGAUCUUACUUAACUCAGCUUUCUUUUGUAUUGCUUUCCUCGGCCCAAGAAGGUGAAUAUGUCCUCUUCAAGGCCAAGCCAAUCUUCUACCAAUUCAGGGAGGUCAAGACAUAGUGCUAGGAUUAUUGCUCAGACUACUGUAGAUGCAAAGCUUCAGGCAGACUUUGAAUCAUCGGGUAGUUCCUUUGACUACUCGAGUACAGUGCGAGUAACCAGUUCAGUUGAUGAGCAGCAACCUAGGUCUGAUAAAGUAACCACAGCUUAUCUUCAUCACAUACAGAAAGGCAAGCUGAUUCAGCCAUUUGGGUGCUUGCUAGCCUUGGAUGAGAAAACUUUCAAGGUCAUAGCAUACAGUGAGAAUGCCUCUGAAAUGUUGACAAUGGUUAGUCAUGCAGUCCCAAGUGUUGGAGACCAUGCAGUUCUUGGAGUUGGAACUGACAUAAGGACCAUCUUCACUGCCCCCAGUGCCUCCGCAUUGCUGAAGGCCCUAGGAUUUGGUGAGGUUUCUCUUUUGAAUCCCAUUUUGGUCCACUGUAAGACCUCUGGGAAGCCCUUUUAUGCAAUUGUCCACCGAGUAACAGGUAGCUUGAUCAUUGACUUUGAACCUGUGAAGCCUUAUGAAGUUCCCAUGACUGCUGCUGGGGCCCUGCAGUCAUACAAACUUGCAGCCAAGGCAAUUACCCGCUUGCAGUCUUUACCUAGUGGGAGUAUGGAGAGGCUUUGUGAUACUAUGGUUCAGGAGGUGUUUGAACUUACAGGUUAUGAUAGGGUGAUGACUUAUAAAUUUCAUGAUGAUGACCAUGGUGAAGUCGUCUCUGAGAUCACAAAGCCUGGUCUGGAGCCAUAUUUAGGUUUGCACUAUCCAGCCACUGAUAUUCCUCAGGCUGCACGCUUUCUGUUUAUGAAGAAUAAGGUCCGCAUGAUCGUUGAUUGUCGUGCAAAACAUGUCAAGGUGAUUCAAGAUGAGAAACUUCCCUUUGAUCUAACCUUGUGUGGUUCAACCUUAAGAGCUCCUCACAGUUGCCAUUUACAAUAUAUGGAAAACAUGACUUCUAUUGCUUCUCUAGUGAUGGCAGUUGUAGUGAAUGAGGAGGGGGAAGAGGGUGACAGCCCUACUUCUGUACAACCACAGAAAAGAAAGAGACUUUGGGGUUUAGUAGUCUGUCAUAACACAACUCCAAGGUUUGUUCCAUUCCCUCUUAGGUAUGCCUGUGAGUUUCUGGCUCAGGUAUUUGCCAUACAUGUCAACAAGGAGCUGGAGUUAGAGAACCAAAUCGUUGAGAAGAAUAUCCUGCGUACUCAGACUCUCUUGUGUGAUAUGCUUAUGCGGGAUGCUCCCUUGGGUAUUGUGACACAGACCCCUAAUAUUAUGGAUCUUGUCAAAUGUGAUGGGGCUGCCCUAUUGUACAAGAAAAAGAUAUGGAGAUUGGGACUGACUCCAAGUGACUUCCAGAUACAUGAUAUAGCAUCAUGGCUCUCUGAGUACCAUAUGGAUUCCACGGGUUUGAGUACAGAUAGCUUAUAUGAUGCGGGUUUCCCGGGGGCCCUGGCUCUUGGAGAUGUAGUCUGUGGAAUGGCAGCUGUGAGGAUAUCUUCCAAGGACAUCAUUUUCUGGUUCCGGUCACACACUGCUUCAGAGAUUCGUUGGGGUGGUGCAAAGCAUGAACCAGGUGAGAAGGAUGAUGGCAGGAGGAUGCAUCCAAGAUCAUCGUUCAAGGCUUUCCUUGAAGUUGUCAAAACAAGGAGCUUACCUUGGAAAGACUAUGAAAUGGAUGCAAUCCAUUCUUUGCAGCUUAUAUUAAGGAAUGCGUUCAAAGAUGUUGAAGCUUUGGACAUAGGCAGCAAAUCAAUCCACUCAAAGCUCAGUGACCUCAAAAUAGAAGGAAUGAAAGAACUUGAAGCAGUUACAAGUGAAAUGGUCCGUCUCAUUGAAACGGCUACAGUACCAAUUUUGGCGGUUGAUGUUGAUGGGCUGGUUAAUGGAUGGAAUACAAAAAUCGCUGAGUUAACUGGUCUUCCCGUUGAAAAAGCAAUAGGGAAGCAUUUGCUCACACUUGUGGAAGAUACUUCAAUUGACAAAGUCAAAAGGAUGCUAUACUUGGCAUUGCAGGGUCAAGAGGAGCAUGACAUUGAAUUUGAGAUUAAAACAUAUGGAUCUAAGACUGACACCAGUCCCCCCAUCAGUUUAGUUGUGAAUGCUUGUGCAAGCAGGGACCUCCAUGAAAAUGUUGUUGGUGUUUGUUUUGUUGCACAGGAUAUAACUGGUCAGAAAACUGUCAUGGACAAAUUCACCAGGAUUGAAGGUGAUUACAAAGCAAUUGUACAGAAUCCAAACCCAUUGAUACCACCUAUAUUUGGUACAGAUGAAUUUGGAUGGUGCUCUGAGUGGAAUCCUGCAAUGGAAAAGAUAAGUGGGUGGAAAAGAGAGGAAGUGCUAGACAAAUUACUUUUGGCAGAAGUUUUUGGGACCAACGUGGCAUUAUGCCGGCUCAAGAACCAAGAGGCUUUUAUAAAUCUUGGCAUUGUUCUGAACAAUGCCAUGACUGGUCAGGAUCCUGAGAAGGUUCCUUUUGGUUUCUUUGGUCGGAAUGGAAAGUAUGUGGAAUGCUUGUUGUGUGUGAGUAAGAAAUUGGACAGAGAGGGAGCUGUCACUGGUGUCUUCUGCUUCUUGCAGCUUGCCAGCCAAGAGCUGCAACAGGCACUUCAUAUCCAGCGAUUAUCAGAACAAACUGCCGUGAAGAGAUUAAAAAGAUUAGCUUAUAUUAGAAGGCAGAUACGGAAUCCUCUUUCCGGGAUCAUAUUUUCUCAGAGAAUGCUGGAGGGAACUGACCUAGGAGAGGAACAAAAACAAAUUUUGCAUACUAGUGCACAGUGCCAGCGCCAACUCAACAAGGUUCUUGAUGACUCAGAUCUUGAUAGCAUCAUUGAUGGCUACUUGGAUCUGGAAAUGGUUGAGUUUACUCUGCAUGAAGUGUUGGUGGCCUCUAUCAGUCAAGUUAUGAUAAAGAGCACUGGAAAGGGAAUCCGAAUAGUCAAUGAAACAGCAGAAGGGUUCAUGACUGAAACAUUAUAUGGAGAUAGUAUUAGGCUUCAACAGGUCUUAGCUGAUUUCUUGUUAGUAUCAGUUAGGUUUACCCCAAAUGGAGACCAGCUUACUGUUACAGCUAAUUUAACCAAGGAUCAGUUAGGCCAAUCUGUUCAUCUUGCACGAUUGGAGCUCAGGAUAACACAUGCGGGCGGGGGCAUACCUGAAGCAUUGCUGAACCAAAUGUUUGGAACUGAUGGAGACAUAUCGGAGGAGGGCAUCAGCCUGCUUAUUAGCAGAAAGCUGGUAAAGCUUAUGAAUGGAGAUGUGCAGUAUCUGAGGGAAGAAGGGAAGUCAACUUUCAUCAUGGCUGUUGAACUUGCUGCAGCCCACAAAUCUCAGACCUAAUCAAUUUUCAAGGAACUAAGUUCUGUAGCAUUCUGUGUACAGAUAAAAAUCGAAUUUGGAGUUCAAUCCUGAAUUUUCCCCUAGCCUGUGGUGCUUAUGAAACUAUAACUUCUAGCUCAAAUCUUCUACUCUGACAGGAUGGUGGUCAGUGCUUUUUGCUUUCCCUUUCAAUCAUUUUUCAGAUAUUAUGCUACAACAAAGACAGAAAAUAGAGAGAGACUGUCUCUGCAGACGGGGAAGCAACUAUAACAGGUGCUAUUGAAGGCAGUGUUUGUUUAGUAAAGCAAAAAGCUAGUGCAUUGGGGUGAGAAGGAUCUGUUCCUGUCAGCAACAAGAAUCAGUAAGUUAUGGCUUUUGGGUGGUAGGUUCCAUAGCUACUGAAAAUUUUUAUCUUCAGUAGAAGUUAAAUUCAAAGUUUGAAUCAGGUUAUAUAUGAUGCAAUAGUUGACAGGGUGGUUGUUAGUGUCAGUCAGUGAACUAGUGAGGAUGAGAAGUAAAGCUGAAGCUUUUCCAUUUAUUUUAAGGCCAAAGGACUGUUUCCCACCCAAGGUUUGGUAAAAAGACACACCCACGGGAGUUCUAAAAUCUAAAUACCCUUUCAAGGUUUACUUCAUUACCACAAACCCAAGAAUUUUUUAUUAGGGUUAAGGGGUAAAAUUGUCAUUCUAUCAGUAAUAUUAAAAUAAAUAAAAUAUAUCUCAUUUUCCCCUUUUGUUUGAAAAACUAACAAUUUUCCAUUAGAAUUAAGUUUUGAAAAAGUUCAUUUUUUCCUCUAGGGUUUUAAUUUUUUGGCAAAACCUCUCCCUCUCCGGCAACUGGCACUGUUCGGCCAUCUUUCCUUUUUCUAGCCUCAUCUUCAUUGGAGAAGAUGAGUUUUCGUAUAGAUGAAUCAACGAGGUUGUCGAUUUGACUUCGUUGGUUGGAAUCAACGACCAUGUCUAGAACCAUGGGUAGGAAAAGACCAAAAGGCAACGAAUACGUGGCGGAGUGUAGCUAAUUUGAUAAAAACAUUACAGUCUUUGAUUCGUUGUCAGUCAAAGCUUUUUUGCAUGUCAUCAGAGUCAUGGACAGUGAUAGAGGGAAAACAAAGGACGGAGAUGGUGGCUGUCACCGGAGAGAAGAAAACCUAGGGAUUUGGGGAGGAAAAAUCACUUUUCAAAGUUGAGACUUGGGGUAAAAUAUCAAUUUUCAAAACCUGGUGGAGAGGGGAAACAAGAUUAAUUUAUAUAUUUUUUUAAUAUUAUUGUUAAAAUGACAAUUUUAUCUUUAUAUUUAAUGUCAAUUUUAAUGAAAGUUUAGGGACAGGUGGGUGUCUAGGUUUUUAAACUCUCGCGAAUAUGUUUUUGUCUUUUCACCGAACAUUGGACAAGAAAUAGUCCUUUAGCCUUUAUUUUAAUAGUUUUAUCCUGAGGGUUGAUGUUUGCAGAUGUGCAAUUCCUUCAGGAUUUCUGGGUAAUGUGAUUGAGAGAAAUAGCCUAUCAUUCAUGAAUUAAAGUAUUGGUGAACCUGACAAUUUUCCAGCUGAUAAUUGCAGCAUUGUUAAACUGGUUGCCCCACAAGUCACCUAAUAUCCAUUGACUAUGUCACAGUGUAGUUGCAAAGUUAUAAUUAUAUCAUUAUCAUCACAACCAUGACUGUGUUGUUCUACCCUGUAGCCAUAAAGUUACAAUUAUCAUCUUUAUCAUAGACACGUUGUGUUAUUAGUGGAAUAGGUCUGCCUGUCACUU
Mangifera indica (mango) is the source of this 5410-nucleotide RNA transcript. It is a transcript of the gene named phytochrome A1, with no coding region annotated. The record is from RefSeq and is a predicted model, not a curated record. Lineage: Eukaryota; Viridiplantae; Streptophyta; Magnoliopsida; Sapindales; Anacardiaceae. The transcript has 7 exons.